GCACCGGUGGUGCAUGAUGCACGCUGCCAUUAAAUAAAGGACCAUUGUUUGCUUCAGGCAGAUCGGGGUUCGACUCCCCACCGGUGCA
Molecule: non-coding RNA, 88 nt
Organism: Mycena rebaudengoi
Lineage: Eukaryota; Fungi; Basidiomycota; Agaricomycetes; Agaricales; Mycenaceae
Source: the annotation of a GenBank genome assembly